GACGAACGCUGGCGGCAUGCCUAAUACAUGCAAGUCGAGCGAACAGAUGAAGUGCUUGCACUUCUGACGUUAGCGGCGAACGGGUGAGUAACACGUAAGGAAUCUACCUAUAAGCGGGGGAUAACAUUCGGAAACGGGUGCUAAUACCGCAUAAUAUCUUCUUCCGCAUGGAAGAAGAUUGAAAGACGGCUCUGCUGUCACUUAUAGAUGACCUUGCGGUGCAUUAGUUAGGUGGUGGGGUAAUGGCCUACCAAGACGAUGAUGCAUAGCCGACCUGAGAGGGUGAUCGGCCACAUUUUGACUGAGACACGGCCCAAACUCCUAUGGGAGGCAGCAGUAGGGAAUCUUCCGCAAUGGGCGAAAGCAUGACGGAGCAAUGACGCGUGAGUGAAGAAGGCCUUCGGGUCGUAAACCUCUGUUAUAAGGGAAGAACAAAUUGUAGAGUAACUGCUACAGUCUUGACGGUAUCUUAUCAGAAAGCCACGGCUAACUACGUGCCAGCAGCCGCAGUAA
Molecule: ribosomal RNA, 513 nt
Filed under: uncultured bacterium
Lineage: Bacteria
Description: partial 16S ribosomal RNA
Rfam family: Bacterial small subunit ribosomal RNA
Source: RNAcentral